CUAACACAUGCAAGUCGAACGGACGAAGGGAGCUUGCUCCCCUAGUUAGUGGCGAACGGGUGAGUAACGCGUGAGCAACCUGCCUUUCAGAGGGGGACAACGGUUGGAAACGACCGCUAAUACCGCAUGAAGCAUUUGGAGCGCAUGAUCUGAAUGCCAAAGAUUUAUCGCUGAAAGAUGGGCUCGCGUCUGAUUAGAUAGUUGGUGAGGUAACGGCCCACCAAGUCGACGAUCAGUAGCCGGACUGAGAGGUUGAACGGCCACAUUGGGACUGAGAUACGGCCCAGACUCCUACGGGAGGCAGCAGUGGGGAAUAUUGGGCAAUGGGGGAAACCCUGACCCAGCAACGCCGCGUGAAGGAAGAAGGCUUUCGGGUUGUAAACUUCUUUUACCGAGGACGAAGAACGUGACGGUACUCGGAGAAAAAGCCACGGCUAACUACGUGCCAGCAGCCGCGGUAAUACGUAGGUGGCAAGCGUUGUCCGGAUUUACUGGGUGUAAAGGGCGUGUAGGCGGAGCAGCAAGUCAGAAGUGAAAUCUCCGGGCUUAACCCGGAAACUGCUUUUGAAACUGUUGCCCUUGAGUAUCGGAGAGGCAGGCGGAAUUCCUAGUGUAGCGGUGAAAUGCGUAGAUAUUAGGAGGAACACCAGUGGCGAAGGCGGCCUGCUGGACGACAACUGACGCUGAGGCGCGAAAGCGUGGGGAGCAAACAGGAUUAGAUACCCUGGUAGUCCACGCCGUAAACGAUGGAUACUAGGUGUGGGGGGACUGACCCCUUCCGUGCCGCAGUUAACACAAUAAGUAUCCCACCUGGGGAGUACGAUCGCAAGAUUGAAACUCAAAGGAAUUGACGGGGGCCCGCACAAGCAGUGGAUUAUGUGGUUUAAUUCGACGCAACGCGAAGAACCUUACCGGGAUUUGACAUCCUGCUAACGAAGUAGAGAUACAUUAGUGCCCUUCGGGGAAAGCAGAGACAGUGUGCAUGGUUGUCGUCAGCUCGUGUCGUGAGAUGUUGGGUUAAGUCCCGCAACGAGCGCAACCCUAUUGUUAGUUGCUACGCAAGAGCACUCUAGCGAGACUGGCGUUGACAAAACGGAGAAGGCGGGACGAAGUCAAUCAUUCUGCCCUUAUGUCCCGGGCUAACACGUAUACAAUGCGGUCACGAGGAGCAGUCGCAGGCGACAGCCAAGCGCUCAUCGGAUCAACUGCACUCACUGCUGAUGAUGCUAUCCGAUCAUGCGGGUAUGUCCGCCUGUUACCGCCGCCCAUUGACGAAUCUCGGACA
RNAcentral lists this ribosomal RNA (1285 nucleotides) under uncultured rumen bacterium. Its description in RNAcentral is "bacterial SSU rRNA". It matches the Rfam family "Bacterial small subunit ribosomal RNA", at positions 48 to 1306 of the family's 1533-position model. The record is from RNAcentral.